Molecule: non-coding RNA, 29 nt
Filed under: Homo sapiens (human)
Lineage: Eukaryota; Metazoa; Chordata; Mammalia; Primates; Hominidae
Source: RNAcentral
UAAAGGUUGACUAAUCUAAUAACAUGGGC